RNAcentral lists this ribosomal RNA (497 nucleotides) under uncultured bacterium. RNAcentral describes it as "partial 16S ribosomal RNA". It matches the Rfam family "Bacterial small subunit ribosomal RNA", at positions 28 to 507 of the family's 1533-position model. The record is from RNAcentral.
GACGAACGCUGGCGGCGUGCCUAAUACAUGCAAGUAGAACGCUGAAGAGAGGAGCUUACUCUUCUUGGAUGAGUUGCGAACGGGUGAGUAACGCGUAGGUAACCUGCCUUGUAGCGGGGGAUAACUAUUGGAAACGAUAGCUAAUACCGCAUAACAAUGGAUGACACAUGUCAUUUAUUUGAAAGGGGCAAUUGCUCCACUACAAGAUGGACCUGCGUUGUAUUAGCUAGUAGGUGAGGUAAUGGCUCACCUAGGCGACGAUACAUAGCCGACCUGAGAGGGUGAUCGGCCACACUGGGACUGAGACACGGCCCAGACUCCUACGGGAGGCAGCAGUAGGGAAUCUUCGGCAAUGGGGGCAACCCUGACCGAGCAACGCCGCGUGAGUGAAGAAGGUUUUCGGAUCGUAAAGCUCUGCUGUAAGUCAAGAACGGGUGUGAGAGUGGAAAGUUCACACUGUGACGGUAGCUUACCAGAAAGGGACGGCUAACUACGUG